RNAcentral lists this ribosomal RNA (253 nucleotides) under uncultured bacterium. RNAcentral describes it as "partial 16S ribosomal RNA". It matches the Rfam family "Bacterial small subunit ribosomal RNA", at positions 524 to 776 of the family's 1533-position model. The record is from RNAcentral.
UACGGAGGGUGCAAGCGUUAUCCGGAUUUACUGGGUUUAAAGGGAGCGUAGGCGGGUUUAUAAGUCAGUGGUGAAAGCCGAUCGCUUAACGAUCGAACUGCCAUUGAUACUGUAGACCUAGAGUACAGAUGAUGUUGGCGGAAUAUGACAUGUAGCGGUGAAAUGCAUAGAUAUGUCAUAGAACACCGAUUGCGAAGGCAGCUGACAAAACUGUAACUGACGCUGAGGCUCGAAAGUGCGGGGAUCAAACAGG